UACGUAGGGGCCGAGCGUUGUCCGGAGUUAUUGGGCGUAAAGCGCGCGCAGGCGGCUUCGCGCGCCCGCCGUGAAAGCCCCCGGCUUAACCGGGGAGAGUCGGUGGGGACGGCGGAGCUUGAGGGCGGGAGAGGUCGGUGGAAUUCCCGGUGUAGUGGUGAAAUGCGUAGAGAUCGGGAGGAACACCUGUGGCGAAGGCGGCCGACUGGGCCGACCCUGACGCUGAGACGCGAAGGCGUGGGGAGCGAACGGG
RNAcentral lists this ribosomal RNA (253 nucleotides) under uncultured bacterium. Its description in RNAcentral is "partial 16S ribosomal RNA". It matches the Rfam family "Bacterial small subunit ribosomal RNA", at positions 524 to 776 of the family's 1533-position model. The record is from RNAcentral.